ACUUUCAAACCUCUGGUUGAAAGAAAUAUACCCAGUUCAGUCACUGCAGUAGAAUUCCUUGUAGAUAAGCAACUGGAUUUUUUAACUGAAGAUAGUGCCUUUCAGCCCUACCAGACGACAUAGACAGCCUAAACCCAGUUCUCAGGGACAACCCGCAGCUUCAUGAGGAAGUGAAAGUCUGGGUAAAGGAACAAAAGGUUCAGGAGAUUUUUAUGCAAGUCCUUAUUCCUUAAAUGGAUACAGAGUGAGAGUAUAUAGACAAGACUCUGCCACCCAGUGGUUUACUGGCAUAAUUACUCAUCAUGAUCUCUUCACCCGCACCAUGAUCGUUAUGAAUGAUCAGUACUAGAACCACAGAAUGUCGAUCCUUCUAUGGUUCAAAUGACCUUUCUAGAUGAUGUUGUUCACUCUUUGUUAAAAGGUGAAAAUAUUGGCAUUACAUCACGACGCAGGUCUCGUGCCAAUCAAAACGUCAACGCUGUUCAAGCCAUUAUACACGUGCCCAAGCAAAUAGUCCCAGACCAGCAAUGAACUCCCAAGCUGCUGUACCAAAACAGAAUACACACCAGCAACAGCAACAAAGAAGUAUCCGUCCAAAUAAGAGGAAGGGCUCAGAUAGCAGUAUACCAGAUGAAGAGAAGAUGAAGGAGGAAAAAUAUGAUUAUAUAUCACGAGGAAAAAUCCUAAAGGUAAAAACAAACACUUGAUGAAUAAAAGAAGGAAACCUGAGGAGGAUGAAAAGAAACUAAAUAUGAAAAGACUUCGAACUGACAAUGUUUCAGACUUUUCUGAGAGCAGUGACUCAGAAAAUUCAAAUAAGAGAAUAAUAGAUAAUUCCUCAGAACAGAAGCCAGAGAAUGAAUUGAAAAAUAAAAAUACUUCAAAAAUAAAUGGAGAAGAAGGAAAACCCCAUAAUAAUGAGAAGGCAGGAGA
This 933-nucleotide long non-coding RNA is filed under the name Homo sapiens (human). RNAcentral's name for it is "non-protein coding lnc-EGR2-6:2". Lineage: Eukaryota; Metazoa; Chordata; Mammalia; Primates; Hominidae. The record is from RNAcentral.